RNAcentral lists this ribosomal RNA (404 nucleotides) under uncultured bacterium. Its description in RNAcentral is "bacterial SSU rRNA". It matches the Rfam family "Bacterial small subunit ribosomal RNA", at positions 355 to 776 of the family's 1533-position model. The record is from RNAcentral.
UGGGGAAUAUUGGACAAUGGGGGCAACCCUGAUCCAGCCAUGCCGCGUGAGUGAUGAAGGCCCUAGGGUUGUAAAGCUCUUUUAGCAGGGAAGAUAAUGACGGUACCUGCAGAAAAAGCCCCGGCUAACUUCGUGCCAGCAGCCGCGGUAAUACGAAGGGGGCUAGCGUUGCUCGGAAUCACUGGGCGUAAAGCGCACGUAGGCGGCUUUCUAAGUCAGGGGUGAAAUCCUGGAGCUCAACUCCAGAACUGCCUUUGAUACUGGAGAGCUUGAGUCCGGGAGAGGUGAGUGGAACUGCGAGUGUAGAGGUGAAAUUCGUAGAUAUUCGCAAGAACACCAGUGGCGAAGGCGGCUCACUGGCCCGGUACUGACGCUGAGGUGCGAAAGCGUGGGGAGCAAACAGG